CCUACGGGUGGCAGCAGUGGGGAAUAUUGCACAAUGGGGGAAACCCUGAUGCAGCGACGCCGCGUGAGUGAAGAAGUAUUUCGGUAUGUAAAGCUCUAUCAGCAGGGAAGAAAAUGACGGUACCUGAUUAUUACGCCCCGGCUAACUACGUGCCAGCAGCCGCGGUAAUACGUAGGGGGCAAGCGGUAUCCGGAUUUACUGGGUGGAAAGGGGGCGUAGACGGCAGCACAAGUCUGGAGUGAAAUGCGGGGGCUUAACCCCGGAACUGCUUUGGAAACUGUGCAGCUAGAGUGCAGGAGAGGUAAGUGGAAUGCCUAGUGUAGCGGUGAAAUGCGUAGAUAUUAGGAGGAACACCAGUGGCGAAGGCGGCUUACUGGACUGUAACUGACGUUGAGGCUCGAAAGCGUGGGGAGCAAACAGGAUUAGAUACCCGUGUAGUC
This 440-nucleotide ribosomal RNA is filed under the name uncultured bacterium. Its description in RNAcentral is "partial 16S ribosomal RNA". It matches the Rfam family "Bacterial small subunit ribosomal RNA", at positions 338 to 795 of the family's 1533-position model. The record is from RNAcentral.